Molecule: long non-coding RNA, 1265 nt
Filed under: Anolis carolinensis (green anole)
Lineage: Eukaryota; Metazoa; Chordata; Lepidosauria; Squamata; Anolidae
Description: lncRNA (ENSACAG00000031992.2)
Source: RNAcentral
GCAGAAACACAGCCAGCUGCUGCCUACUACUCUCAUUCCCUUGCUCUCCAUCAGCCACUAAGUGGCUGUGAAGUAGGCUCAGCAAAGAGGAAAGGGGAAGAAGGUGCUGCUGUUCCAGGCUCUCAGUCAUUGUAUUUCACCCCAAAAUGUAAAUAUGUAAUGGGAGCAAUGACAUAUGUAUGGCUCUCCUGAUACUGCAGUAAAGCCAGCAAAACUGAUGAGCACUUCUCCAACUGAGAGCUGCCUCGCCCUGUAAGGAAUCAAGUAAAGAAGUCAUCUCUGUUCUGCUAUAUUAGAGGGUGCUGGAUAAAACUUUUCUGUGCUUAACAGAAGAAGAAGAAGGUUAGCAAAGUUAUCAUUGGAUCUCUAUUAUAAAUCGGAAGAGUACCAGAUAGAGGAAGAAGAAAUGGAUGAAACUCAAUAUUAACCCCUCCACAGCUAGACAACUGGCUAUACUUUGCAUGGGGGGUUGGAGGAAGGGAGGAUGAACUGGAAGUCCAAAAAGUAACUUAUCCAAGUUAUGUCAAGGCUUUAUCUACAUGAGAGCCUUGAGAAGCUUUGUAACCUUUUCUAACCUGUGUUCAGCACAAAACACAAGAGAAAGCAGCAAAGCAGAUGAUUGGGACAGUUGGAAGGUAUACAAGGGAGGCAACUCCUGGAAUAGUAAUUCCUGGAACUGGAAGACCACAUUCCUGGAACUGGAAGACUACAUUCUCCCAUGGAUUUUGGAGGACUGCAUAUUCUUGUUUUAGACCUUUCUCCUACUCACUAAAUCUCCUUCCUAUUCCAACACAAAUAACAGUUAUAGCAACAUCUAGUUCUAGCUGAGUGACACAUAAUGGUGUCAGUCAGCUGGAACUAAAUACAAUUUAAUCAAUGGACUAAGAAUUGUGAUUCAGAUUGAAAGCAACCCCGGCUAACGCUAGUAUAUAGUGCAUGCAAAAUGUAUUUGCAACUGUGUGUUUACUCACUGGUGUUUGGGUGUAUUUGUUAAUCACAUGCAACACAAUCCAAAAAUCAGGAUUCUCUAUAGGAAGGAUGCUUCCACUUGCAAACUAUUUGAAUGAGAAAAAGAACACCCCAUAGAAAUUUCUUUUAAAAUGCCUUGGCCCAUGCUUCCUAUUAAUUCUACACCAUCCCACUUUUUAAAAAAAUGUCCUAAUUCAUCUCUCUUCAAAGUGGAAAACUAGGAUGGAUAACUUUAUGGGAGUAACAUCUUUGUAAAUGAAUAUAGGCAAUCUAUUGGAUCGUUUCAUGAUAUCUAU